CCAAGGUCCUCUGUGGGAUAAAGCCAAGGAUGGCUUCCCUGGGGCUCGAACUAAGGACCCGGAGUGCCUACAGGGCUCUUCCUACUGCUUCUUCUACUUUUAUAUUUUGCUUGACUCCCUAAAUCCAUUUCAGCUCUUGGGAACAUGGGCACUGUUGGAAAAGGAGAUUCAGAGAAGCUCUUUUGUGAAGAUCAUAGAAGACAGUUUGUAAAGAUAUUUGAGAUAAAUAGAAGAAGCUCUGGGAACAAUCUGUCUUAGUCUAUUUAUGCAGUGAAGGUGUCUGAAAGUCAGUGACUAAAUUUAAUGCAGUAUUUUCUGAGCACCUACUAUGGACUAGGCGCUGGGUGUACAACAAGGAAUGAAAAGCCAAUGGUCCCUGCUAUAAUGAAACUUACUUAGUGAUAUGGUUUGGAUUUAUGCCCCCAUCCAAAUCUCACAUUCAAUUGUAAUCCCCAAUGUUUAAGGUGGGGCCUGGCGGGAGGUAAUUGGAUCAUGGGGUGGUUUCUCAUGAAUGGUUAGGCACUAUCUCCUUGGUGCUAAGUUCUCCUGAGAUCUGAUUGUUUAAAAGUGUGUAUUUCCUUCCCCACUUCUCUCUUCUUCCUGCUCCAGCCAUGUAAGACAUGCCUGCUUCCCCUUCCUUUUCCACUACGACUGAGAGUUUCCUGAGGCCUCCUCAGAAGCUGAGCAGAUGCUUCCACUCUUCCUGUACAGCCUGCAGAACCAUAAGCCAAUUAAACCUCUUUUCUUGAUAAAUU
Molecule: long non-coding RNA, 755 nt
Filed under: Homo sapiens (human)
Lineage: Eukaryota; Metazoa; Chordata; Mammalia; Primates; Hominidae
Description: HSALNT0179697
Source: RNAcentral